GGGGGGCUUGCUGGAGGUUUCUGUGUACCUGUGGCCUUCUGAAGCACUGCAAUUUGGUAGUUGCUCAGGGGCUGGAAGGAUUGCUCCUUGCAGAGGUGACCUCCCUGCAGUUAGACUGCAUGUCAGUGUUUGAGGAAUAUACUUGAGCUGAUGGGCAUUUAAAUUCUGAGCAGUGGCUGUGGCAUCUGCUGGUGGUUGGCUACCAGAGCGCCCUUAAUGCUGCACCAUGCUGAGUGCCACUGGCAGAGCACCAAAGUCUCCAUGCUCAGGUUAGUGUCCCUAUUCCCAGGGGCAGCUCCUGGUCCCCAUCCUGUGGCCCAAGCCCCUGUCCAACUCCUCAGCCUCUGCCCCGUGCACCAUCUCUCCUCCCCGGGUGAAGAUGGGGCAGACGCAGUCAUUUCUGUGGCUUUGGUGUGCUGCACACAAAGCACUGUGCAAAAUUGCUCUCUCCUCUGCUUGUGCAAAUGGGCACUCACCAACCGUUAGGGGAACGGUACCUGAGGUGCACUGGGCAAGGGAUGUGGCGUAGGGAGUGGGAAAGGGACCUGGGGGUUGCUGCUGCUCUCACUGCUGCUCAGCCCAGGCCCUGCCUGCUUCAAAAAGCACCUUCCUAUUUCCCAUCUAAGCUGUUUCUGCAGUGCUCAGCUUCUUCCUGCUUUCUCCUCCGGAUGGGUCCCAGUGCCGGCAGCAGCUCCAUCCCAGCGCCAGCAGCCUGUGCGCACCGAAACAGGCAGCUAGAAAGUAAACAGUGUCUGAAACCUAUUCUCAUUAGGCUAAUUUACGAAUAAAUUACCAUAUUCAAUGGCCUUAUUUUUACUGCUCGUUAACAGGCCCAUGAUAGGAUGAUAAUUAUGGGAUUUUAAGUGGCUAAUGGCAGCUGGGGCGUCAAAAGCAGUUUUUACGAAUCUGUUUAUGGCAGGGAAGGUGACAGGAGGUGGGACACUGAGAUGCUGGAAUCGCAUGUCGGAGGGGGGGGAGCUUUAAUUGUUGAGUAUUUAUUAGAGAGGAGGGAAGACUGUAAUUUAAAAAUGAAAC
Gallus gallus (chicken) is the source of this 1035-nucleotide long non-coding RNA. RefSeq lists it as uncharacterized. The record is from RefSeq and is a predicted model, not a curated record. The transcript is spliced from 3 exons. Lineage: Eukaryota; Metazoa; Chordata; Aves; Galliformes; Phasianidae.